ACAAAAUAUUCCGCAUGCAUCAAACCCCGUGGUGCACGCAAUAACGCACGCAUUCUCUUGCAAUCCUCUCUUUCGUUUGUGACGCACACGCAACACGCGCAAUUUUAAUUGUAAUACUAUGCUGAUGCCCGCGACUUCGUCCGCGUGGAUUUAGAUUUUUUAA
Molecule: long non-coding RNA, 163 nt
Organism: Maniola jurtina (meadow brown)
Lineage: Eukaryota; Metazoa; Arthropoda; Insecta; Lepidoptera; Nymphalidae
Exons: 3
Source: RefSeq, a predicted model, not a curated record